Patella vulgata (common limpet) is the source of this 5532-nucleotide long non-coding RNA. RefSeq lists it as uncharacterized. Lineage: Eukaryota; Metazoa; Mollusca; Gastropoda; Patellidae. The record is from RefSeq and is a predicted model, not a curated record. The transcript is spliced from 3 exons.
ACUGACUUGGUUAGAAGACAGCUAGUCAUACUAGCUCUAUAACGUUAAUAUAGCGCAGGAGAGUUGCAGACGCGUUGCAGACACCGAACGGCAUUCAGUUCAACUGUGAAACAACAUCUGGAUUAUUAAAGUUGAUGAAAGUUUAAAUUAUAGUGCGGUGGAUCUAAAUGAGUUGUGUGGUUUGAUGCUAUAUUGGGCGGUUUAUGUAUGAAGGUUUGUCACAGUUUGUAGUAUAGUUCGGUUUAUAAAUAACAUCAUACAAAGUGGGCAGAGUGUAUAUAAUACUAACAUUCUUACGUCAAUAAACUGUUGAUUUCAAUAAUGAUGUUAUGAGGAGCAGUGACCUAUUUGUGAUAAUAGACCGUGUUUACAUGUUUUAGCAUACCAACGUAUUAGCUGAAUUAUUUAUCAAAUUGUUUAUCAUUGGGUAGGAACUAUCAAAGGGAAAUCCUCGAGACAGUAUAGUCGUUGGACAUUGUGAAGUCAUUAUUGGUGAAUUUGAAUUAAUGAAUUACAUUGGUGUGUGAUAUUAUAACGUUAUUGCAGUGAAGUUUUACAGGAGGUUAUUGCAGUGAAAUAUAACAGUAGAAUUGUCAGAGUAUCUCCUGGUACUGUUAUCUGAAAGUGAAAGUAGUGUUAAAAUUAUAAACAUUGAAUAUGGCCGGAAAAUUGUGUUCCUGUUUUCCUAGGAAAGUGAAAAAAGAAGAGGAAAACACAGCGCCAUCAAUGGUUUAUGUGAAACGUCCACGUGAAUAUGAUGAAAUAGAGUUAAAAGAUAAAGAUGGAAACCAUGAAAACCAUGACAAUAACAUGACAUCGGACCCGCCAUUAAACUAUGUUGAGGUCGACAUACAGCCGUCUAAUAAAACGACGAUUAUUGGAGAGAAAGCGCCACCUACCCAAUAUAGUACCAUAGAUAUCGACGCCACAGAGAAACGGAAGUUGUCUAUCGCUAGUGAUUAACAUAUCUAGCUUUAUAACAACAUUUUUAAAGGCUCAAUACCACUCUUGUUGUAACUGAAUAAUAUGUCCCAAUCUUUAUUCUGGUCAACAAAUUGUACUAUUUUAGAAUAUUUUAAUUAAUUGAUGAUACAAAUUUCAUCUUAACACACCUUAUUUAAAAAUUUUGAAAUAUUCAACAUAAUGGUUUGAAACGUCUAACGUAAACCUUUUCAAAUGAAACUUCGAUUUAAAAAUAUUUUCGAACCCUCUGGACAAGUAAAAUAGGAUGUAAUGGAUAAUUUACACAACAGGUAGGACACUUAAACAUCUAGUACUUAGAUAGAGAUAUUUAUUUUCUGGAGCUUUCAAGCCAGCAAGAGUGUUAUUGUCCCUUUAAAGGACCUCCCGUAUUUUUAUUUUUUAUAUAAAGUCAAAUUUUAACAAAUAACUAGUAUAGUAUGUAUAUUUGAAAUGUCGAAUCCAGGCUGGUCAAUAUGAUUAAAAAGCAGAUCUAUAUUUCGUUUCGUUUUUUUUUAAUACUCUCGAGGGUCUACAUUACAUGAAGAUCUGACCAGUUGUAGUUUAAGGUGACAUUGAUUAAUUAACCAGCGUUGACCUUUCUAGUGGUUUACCCACAGUUCCGUGCAAGCCAAUAACUCGCCGUAACAGAUCGUCCCAUUGGCUCAUCCCUCACAUUAACCAGAACGCAUGUUAUAUAACAACUCUUCCAGAUCCGAGUGCUGUCAAGACAAGUAAAACGAAAUUUUGAACUAUAAAAUAUGAAACGAAAUGGGAUCUGUGUUUUAAUCAGAUUGACGUUUAAUAGCAACAUUAUCAAAAAUCUCAGUCAGUUUUUAAAAAUUAAAACUUUACCGAAAACCGUAAAACUAACAAUAUUAUUAAAGGUUCAUGUAUUUGUAAUUUAUUUUAAACGUCAAUUUUAACAUAAAAUUAGUACAGCAUGCAUGUUUGAAACAUCGAAUUAAGACUGGUCAAUGAUUAAUAACAAUAUUAUUAAAACAGAACUCAAUUUUUUAUAGGAAAUUAAUCACUGGUUUUUAUUCUAAAAGCACGAAGUGCCAGUUAGAAUGGUGCAAUGGGCCCUUUGAAUUUUCUAAUGUACCACUUGGAAUGUUCUAAUGUACCACUUGGAAUGUUCUAACGUGCCACUUGGAAUGUUCUAAUGUACCACUUGGAAUGUUCUAAUGUGCCACUUGGAAUGUUCUAAUGUACCACUUUGAAUGUUCUAAUGUGCCACUUGGAAUGUUCUAAUGGACCACUUGGAAUGUUCUGAUGUGUCACUUGGAAUGUUCUGAUGUGCUACUUGGAAUGUUCUAAUGUGCCCUUUGGAAUGUUCUAAUGUGCCACUUGGAAUGUUCUAAUGUUAGGUUAAUCACUCACUCUGCUCAAAAUGAUUUUAAUUUCUUCUUUUAUUUACGUUAUUGGAAAAGAAGUCCCUAUCGCCCCCACCUUGAUUAGCAGAUCAGUACGACGUUAAACCCCAUUUCGUUUUAUUUCAUUAUCGCUCGUUUUAGUCAUUGUUGAAUACCAACGAUGUCAUUAUUUCAUUAUCGCUCGUUUUAAUCAUUGUUGAAUACAAACGACGUCAUUAUUUCCUCGAGAUGGAGUAGACACGAAGAGUCAAUUUCCUACAUAUGGAGUAGAUACGAAGGGUUUGUUUUAUUGUAUAUAAGUAAUAUAUAAACACAUUAUAAUGUGUCAAAUAUAUUUAUGUUAUUUGGAAAGGAGUAAGUAUACCCUCCACUCCGCCCCAACACUCCGGUUUGCUCACUACACUUAAUUAUUAUUAUUUUUUUUAGCGUUUUCUAUCCGGUUAUCUCCCUUAUUGUUGAAAUUUUUUGAGGUUCUAAUUCAUGACGUCAACUGGCAGACUAUCGCCAUUGAAGAGAUGACCGCUGUCAAGAUCGGUCGCAUUAUUUCUGUUACGUCUUUUUGUAAAUCAUUUAUUUUUUUUUCAAUUUGAGUGAAGCCUGUACCAUAACAGGCCCGGGACUAUACAGCGCAGUGGACGCUUAUGGCUGGCCACCGGAUCCAUUCACUUGAUGUGAUAUUUGUUUAUUUCUUGCAAUAUUGUUACAGACUGGCUAUUACGUAAUGCUAGAUUAGCUUUCCGUACAAGUCACAUAACACUAACUGGCCAGGUGCCUGUUUCACGAAAUUUUAACUAAGAUAAAAUCCAAAUUUUAGUAAUUUGAUUGGAUAAUAUUAUAUUGAUUUUAGUGCUUAGCCAAUCAAAAUUGAACUAUCUACUAAAAUUUGGAUUUUAUCUUUAGUUAAAAUUUCGUGAAACAGGGCCCUGGUGUUUAAUGAAUCAAGUAUCUGUCAUACAUGACAGCUGACAUGACCGGAUAUUUACAUGUAAUUGGUCAAAAAUGGUAUGAUAUCGUUUAGAUACUAUUCUCCUAUUGUGUAACAAUAUCUCUGCAUUCUGUCUUGUCCACUGGUUUAUCUUGUAGAUUAGAAGAUAGUAGUACCAUUACAGAUCCAGGGCCCUUAUUCACGAAAACUUAAACUAAGAUACAAUCGAAAUUUUAAGAAAUACUGCAAUUUGAUUGGCUGACCAGUAAAAUCAACUUGCAUAUAUCCAAUGAAGUUGCAGUAUUUCUUAAAAUUUCAGUUGUAACUUAGUUUAAGUUUUCGUGAAUAAGGGCCCAGGAUUGUACAGCACAGUGGACGCUUACGGCUGACCCCCGGAUACAUUCAUUUAAUUUGAUAUUUGUUAUUUUUUGCAAUGUCUGUAUAUUCUGUCUUAUUCACGGGUUUAUCUUGUAAGUUUUUGUUUUGUGUGUAGUGCGGUCCUACUGCACUCACUAUUAGUUAUUACUGUAUACCGAUAUAAUAUAUUUGUUUUAUAAGACAGAUUGAUAAUUUGUCGGCUGUACCAUGCCAUAAUUUUCUUGUACAAUAGAUUGCUAAUAUGUCAAGUAUAUCAUUCCAUAAUUCCUUGAUUAUUGUAUAUGCAAUUUCAUCGAACCCUUUGAUGUUUACCGAAAGAUUCAAAUUGUGACAUUAAGUUUGAAAAUAAUCUUGAGGCGACUGACAUGGCUUUAGAAUCAGAUAAUCGUUUCGUUUUAUUUCUAAUAUGUCUUACAAUGAUUGUAAAAUUAACGAAACGAAAUUGUAAUGGAAUCUAUCUUAACCUCCUCUGGGUAAAAUCCCUUUUUCUUUUCUUCUGUUGUUGAUAUUUAUUUAUACUAUAGUAAGGCUAAUUACAUCGUUAAAAUGUUGAUAUUUACACAAUCUUUAUAUUUAUACUGCAGGAAGAUUUAACAACUUCUUUAUGUAAGAUCUAACAACAUCGUUAUAUUUACACUACAGUAAUAUCUAACGAUAUCUUAAACUUGACGUAUUUGACUAUAUCUUAUACUUAACGUAUUUGGGUGGUUGGAUGGCUGAAUGGUUAGCGUGCGCGCGCUGUAUCAUAAAGCCUGUCAUUGAGUCAACUGGCGUGGUUUCGAAUCCCCGGUUGUACGUGGCAAGGAGUAGGGUCGCCUGUCCAACCACGUGGGUUUUCUCCGGGUCCUCCGGUUUCCUCCCACUGCUAAAGACCCCUACGCGCAAGCGAAUUAUUGAAAUAAAAUUAAACCAUAUGUUUGUCCCGAAAUGACCUAGUUUGUGUCGAGUGGACGUUAACCCCCAGUUCUCUCUCUCUCUCUCACCAACGUAUUUAAAAAAUGGACGUAUUACUCUCCUCGACAAUAAUUGCCUUGAUCCAAACACAGGGGCCCAAUUUAGAAUUCAAAGAAAACGAUUCAAUUACAUGUAAAUAUAAUGUUAUUAGAUGGUAUAAAACGUAACUGAAUUAGAUUAUAUUUCAAUGUAAUCGAAUUAUAUAUAAUUAAUUGAAUUAUAUAUAAUUAAUUGAAUUAUAUAUAAUUAAUUGAAUUAUUUGUAUUUAAUUGAAUUAUUUGUAUUUAAUUGAAUUAUUUGUAUUUAAUUGAAUUAUCUCAAUGUAAUGUAAUUAAUUAUAUGUCAAUGUAAUUGAAAUGAUUGUAUUUAAAUAUAAAUAAUAUAAUGUAAUUAGAUUGUAUUUAAAUGUAAUUGAUUUGAUUCUAUUUAAAUGUAAUUAAUUUAAUUCUAUUUAAAUGUGAUUGAUUUAAUUUUAUUUAAUACGAUUAAUUUUAUUUAAUACGAUUAAUUAUAUUUAAUUGGAUUAAUUGUACUUGAUUGUAUUGAAUUUUAAUUAAUUGUAUUUAAUUGUGUCGAAAUGAAAUGUAAUUAUAUUCACAGUAUCAGCUUUUACAAUAUUACAGAACAUACUUGUCCUACAAGAUUACACCAUCUCUCUCUCUCUCUCGCUCGCUCUCUCUCUCUCUCUCUCUCUCUCUCCACCUCUUCAUUCUCACACACACCAUAAACCCUGUCCCCAUCUGGAUAUCUCGCUCUCUGUGGGCUGUUCUUUUAUUCAACAUUCUAGCUUGUCACGUGUAUUUUAAUAUAUCCAUUAAUGCCAGUCACGUGCCUUGAUAUAUUGUAUAAAUAAAAUUGUUGCCAUAUGACUUGUUAUAUAAUUUAACUGUAUAAAAGCAACUCUGUAAAUAAAAUAUUACCUAUAUAUAAUACAAUUCA